GAUGUUGAUCGGCUACAAAUCCUUCAACCAGCAAAAGGAAGACUUGCAAUCAAGGCUAGGGUCCGGGAAACAAUCAGAAAAACAGAGAUUCCAUUUACUUUCGUGAGUAGAAACCUUUGUGCAACAUAUUUUCUCUCAGGACUUGGUCAGGUAGAAGAAACAUGUACACCGAAGGAAAUAUUUCACAUCAUAAGGGAUGGAAAUACCAAAGUUAUAUUUGUUGAUGAAGAUGAUAUUGCAACAUAUGUAGUAAAAGGUGUUGAUGACCCAAGAACUCUCAACAA
Molecule: unclassified non-coding RNA, 284 nt
Filed under: Hevea brasiliensis (rubber tree)
Lineage: Eukaryota; Viridiplantae; Streptophyta; Magnoliopsida; Malpighiales; Euphorbiaceae
Source: RNAcentral